This 21-nucleotide microRNA is filed under the name Oryza sativa (Asian cultivated rice). RNAcentral's name for it is "osa-miR5834". Lineage: Eukaryota; Viridiplantae; Streptophyta; Magnoliopsida; Poales; Poaceae. The record is from miRBase by way of RNAcentral.
ACGGAUGUAGAAAUUGGUGAU